This 435-nucleotide ribosomal RNA is filed under the name uncultured bacterium. RNAcentral's name for it is "partial 16S ribosomal RNA". It matches the Rfam family "Bacterial small subunit ribosomal RNA", at positions 28 to 507 of the family's 1533-position model. The record is from RNAcentral.
GAUGAACGCUGGCGGUAUGCUUAACACAUGCAAGUCGAACGGACUCUUCGGAGUUAGUGGCGGACGGGUGAGUAACGCGUUAGAAUCUGGCUUUGGGUUCGGGACAACCACUGGAAACGGUUGCUAAUACCGGCUGUGCCGAGGCGUACGAGAGAAAUUGCCUGAAGAUGAGUUCGCGUCUCAUUAGCUAGCUGGUGAGGUAAAGUCUCACCAAGUCAGCGAUCAGUAGCUGGUCUGAGAGGAUGACCAGCCACACUGGGACUGAGACACGGCCCAGACUAAUACGGGAGGAAGGAGUGGGGAAUUAUCCGGAAAGGGCGAAAGCGUGAAGAAGGAAUACCGAGUGAAGAAAGAAGGAUCUUGGGUUGUAAACCAGUUUUCUUAGAGAAGAACAAUAUGACGGUACCUAAAGAAUAAGCAUCGGCUAACUCCGUG